This 340-nucleotide ribosomal RNA is filed under the name Allotraeus asiaticus. RNAcentral's name for it is "SSU rRNA". It matches the Rfam family "Eukaryotic small subunit ribosomal RNA", at positions 583 to 885 of the family's 1831-position model. The record is from RNAcentral. Lineage: Eukaryota; Metazoa; Arthropoda; Insecta; Coleoptera; Cerambycidae.
UUCCAGCUCCAAUAGCGUAUAUUAAAGUUGUUGCGGUUAAAAAGCUCGUAGUCGAAUCUGUGUCCCGCGCCGCCGGUUCAUCGUUCGCGGUGUUAACUGGCGUGCCGCGGGACGUCCUGCCGGUGGGCUUAGUCCGCAAGGACGGCCCAACUCAAUCCCGCCGCGGUGCUCUUCACUGAGUGUCGAGGUGGGCCGGCACGUUUACUUUGAACAAAUUAGAGUGCUUAAAGCAGGCUAAAACUUCGCCUGAAUACUGUGUGCAUGGAAUAAUGGAAUAGGACCUCGGUUCUAUUUUGUUGGUUUUCGGAACCCCGAGGUAAUGAUUAAUAGGAACGGAUGG